UACGAAGGGGGCUAGCGUUGCUCGGAAUCACUGGGCGUAAAGGGUGCGUAGGCGGGUUUUUAAGUCAGAGGUGAAAUCCUGGAGCUCAACUCCAGAACUGCCUUUGAUACUGAAGAUCUUGAGUCCGGAAGAGGUGAGUGGAACUGCGAGUGUAGAGGUGAAAUUCGUAGAUAUUCGCAAGAACACCAGUGGCGAAGGCGGCUCACUGGUCCGGUACUGACGCUGAGGCACGAAAGCGUGGGGAGCAAACAGG
This 253-nucleotide ribosomal RNA is filed under the name uncultured bacterium. Its description in RNAcentral is "partial 16S ribosomal RNA". It matches the Rfam family "Bacterial small subunit ribosomal RNA", at positions 524 to 776 of the family's 1533-position model. The record is from RNAcentral.